AAGUUUGUAGAUUCUGUCUGAUGAUGUCACUGACACAAAGAAGAAAAUGCAAGACAGGUAGCCUUCAAUCUGUGUGCUGGUGAGACCAGCUGUAUUUUGGCCAUGGCUUUGCUGAGUACUCUGGAAGCAGUGUGGCUGGGGUUUCUCCUCAACUCUCUCUGGAAGGUUGCAGAGAGCAGGGACCAAGUGUUUCAGCCUUCUACUGUGGCAUCUUCAGAGGGAGCUGUGGUGGAAAUCUCCUGCAAUCACUCUGUGUCCAAUGCUUACAACUUCUUCUGGUACCUUCACUCCCCAGGAUGUGCUCCAAGACUCCUUGUUAAGGGUUCAAGGCCUUCUCAGCAGGGACGGUACAACAUGACAUAUGAACGAUUCUCUUCAUCACUGCUCAUCCUGCAGGUGCAAGAGGCAGAUGCUGCCGUUUACUACUGUGCUCUGGAGCACACAGAGGCAGGGAACCUAUGA
Galeopterus variegatus (Sunda flying lemur) is the source of this 462-nucleotide non-coding RNA. The record is from the annotation of a RefSeq genome assembly. NCBI's taxonomy places the organism in Eukaryota, Metazoa, Chordata, Mammalia, Dermoptera, Cynocephalidae.